This 379-nucleotide ribosomal RNA is filed under the name uncultured eukaryote. RNAcentral's name for it is "partial 18S ribosomal RNA". It matches the Rfam family "Eukaryotic small subunit ribosomal RNA", at positions 592 to 976 of the family's 1831-position model. The record is from RNAcentral.
CAAUAGCGUAUAUUUAAGUUGUUGCAGUUAAAAAGCUCGUAGUUGGAUUUCGGAUGGGACUUGCCGGUCCGUCGUUUCGAUGUGCACUGGCCAGUCCUAUCUUGUUGUCGGGGACUAGCUCCUGGGCUUCACUGUCCGGGACUAGGAGCCGACGAGGUUACUUUGAGUAAAUUAGAGUGUUCAAAGCAAGCCUACGCUCUGAAUACAUUAGCAUGGAAUAACACGAUAGGACUCUGGCUUAUCUUGUUGGUCUGUGAGACCAGAGUAAUGAUUAAGAGGGACAGUCGGGGGCAUUCGUAUUUCAUUGUCAGAGGUGAAAUUCUUGGAUUUAUGAAAGACGAACUUCCGCGAAAGCAUUUGUCAAGGAUGUUUUCAUUAA